AUUGAACGCUGGCGGCAUGCCUUACACAUGCAAGUCGAACGGUAGCGCGGGGGCAACCCUGGCGACGAGUGGCGAACGGGUGAGUAAAGUAUCGGAACGUGCCCUAGAGUGGGGGAUAACUAGUCGAAAGCUAGCUAAUACCGCAUACGAUCUAUGGAUGAAAGUGGGGAUCGCAAGACCUCAUGCUCAUGGAGCGGCCGAUAUCUGAUUAGCUAGNGGUAGGGUAAAGCCUACCAAGGCGACGAUCAGUAGCUGGUCUGAGAGGACGACCAGCCACACUGGGACUGAGAC
RNAcentral lists this ribosomal RNA (291 nucleotides) under uncultured bacterium. RNAcentral describes it as "partial 16S ribosomal RNA". It matches the Rfam family "Bacterial small subunit ribosomal RNA", at positions 30 to 325 of the family's 1533-position model. The record is from RNAcentral.